Callithrix jacchus (white-tufted-ear marmoset) is the source of this 948-nucleotide non-coding RNA. The record is from RefSeq and is a predicted model, not a curated record. NCBI's taxonomy places the organism in Eukaryota, Metazoa, Chordata, Mammalia, Primates, Cebidae.
CGUUAGCGUUUCCGUCCACAUGCCUUAUAAGGCACCGGGAAGCUCUCGCCUUUUAUAGUUAGGGUGACCGAAUCGUGCGCUUUCCUAUAUAACUUGGAGACUUUAGGGAAAUUUCAUGCAACGGAACCUCAUCACAAUGCUUGCACGUUUGGUGCUCUGACCGCCAGGCCAUACGCGGCAGCGACUGACCUGUGAGGUUUACUUGUUGGGUGGGACAUGUAAAUGAGCGCCCGGAGCACCUUGGGUAAGGCUCCCCGCGCGGGACCCAGGCCCUGGGCUUUGAGUUUUGGGGCUGCGGAACUCAGUCCGCAGAGCAUGCCGGGAGCCUGCAGUCCUUGCGGCCACAGAGUAGCGCGGAGGACCGAGCCGGCCUGGAGCACUUGGCGUCUCUCCAAAGUCGUUCUGGGAGUUGGGGAGGUGGUUGGCCCGCUAGGUCCCUAGGGCCUUGGGUCGAGAAGGGGUCCUCCCCAAUACAAGGAAGGUUUCACCGAUAUUUCGCUGGUGACAUUGGGGCCUUCUGCCAACAGACUUUUCUGAAGUGAGCCCAGAGUUCAACCCUUCGAGAGAGACCUUCCAACGAUUCCACGACUCAGUUCUGGAGCGGUGUCUUCCCCUGACCGCUACUUUCGCCGCCCCGGAACGCUGAAAAACCGGCUGACAGGUGGAUUUGAGGAAUUACAAUAGUUCACUUAGAGUCGAACUGGAGAAGCAUUCUUGAACGACCUUAUACCUCCUUGCACUCUAAUCCUAACCCCAUUAGGAUACAAACGUACGGGACAGACCUACUCGCAAGAAAUACUCUGUUAGUGUUAAAUAUUCUGAUUUUUAACUACAGCAAAAAUCAUAUUGUUUAUAUCCCUGAGCGUUGUGAGAUGAGGGCCCAAAGAUCAAAGCCUCUGGUAUUUAUUGGUUACAGCAUUGUAUAUAUUAAAGUUAGUGAAGGACAAA